Mauremys reevesii (Reeves's turtle) is the source of this 280-nucleotide long non-coding RNA. RefSeq lists it as uncharacterized. The record is from RefSeq and is a predicted model, not a curated record. The transcript has 3 exons. Lineage: Eukaryota; Metazoa; Chordata; Testudines; Geoemydidae.
GUCCAAGACCCUAAAUGCAAAGAGAAGGAGGAUGUGCUCCAUCAAGACAUCAGAAAGUUGGAAUUGUCUGAAGUUCAAGGAUUUCAUUGAUGAAACGUCAGAUAACCCAGGCUCAGCGUUGUUGAACACAGAAAAAUCAGCACAAACAGAAAGACAAGGGUUAAUAGCUCACCAGUCCGGAGAACACCAUACAGUAUCUUCAAUUCUGUUCCAAAGUAUGAAUUUAAUUCGAAUUAUAUUUAUAGAGGAUUUGUUUAUAACAAGCUGGAGACUAAUACCU